This is a long non-coding RNA of Rhododendron vialii, 262 nucleotides long. RefSeq lists it as uncharacterized. The transcript is spliced from 2 exons. Lineage: Eukaryota; Viridiplantae; Streptophyta; Magnoliopsida; Ericales; Ericaceae. The record is from RefSeq and is a predicted model, not a curated record.
GUUCGAGACGCUGAUCUUCCCCAGGCUAAGUUGCUUCGACAUAAUCGAGCUGAUUAGUGGCUCAAUUUGAUUGAUUUGUGGGAGUAUUUGGAGGAGACUUGUAGCCAAAGUUAGGGUUUUGCGAGGAGAGAGUUAAGAGAGAGAGAGAUUCCGGCAGCUGAUUUUGAAAGGGUUUUAGAGAGGGGGGGAGGGUUUUACAGAGAAAUUCUCGUGCGGGAUUCGGGGAUUGUACUGGAAACGUGUAAUUGCACGAAUAUUCCUU